CGCGCCUCCCACAUGAGCUCUCACACGUAGGCGGGCGCAGGAGCAACACCCCCACAGAACGAACCCCGCCUGGGAGACGAGGGCGGGGGCCGGGGCUGCGGUGCUGUGCCCGAGCACGUACCGGGGCGGGGCCUGCAGCGGGGCAGGCGGGGUUUGGGGAAGUUUCUCCCUGCGGCUUGUGUUUCGCAUCCUUACCGUGUAGUACCAGCGGCACCAGGGAUAGAAGCGGGUGGCCGGUCCCUUCCGCUUGUUAUUUUCCCCGCUGAGGGGUCUGUCUGAUCAGUGCUGCCCUCAGGCACCUGUCUUUCCUCUCCGUCCCGGAUCAUGGAGCCGAGAAAAGGGAAUAAAAGAAAUUAAAUAGUACAAGGAGAUCGGGUGUCUGGGCAGCUUCUUGGAUAAAACCGUCCACUACAGAAAUACUUGUACUGUCCACAACUUUGAAGAUAAUAAUUGUUAAAGAUAUGGCAACUAAAUUUAUAAGACAAAUCCAUAAGAAGCUUGAGCCUGGAUAAAACAUCUGAAGCAUAAUAUACUUAAGCAGUGAAGACUGGGAGAUGAAAAAUUGGAGCAAGAGCCAGAAUUCUGGAAGAGAAAUAAGCCUCAAUAAAACAGACAGAGAUCACAAGUAGGCAGAGAGGCAGGCAGAGAGAGAGGAAGAAGC
Molecule: long non-coding RNA, 661 nt
Organism: Lutra lutra (Eurasian river otter)
Lineage: Eukaryota; Metazoa; Chordata; Mammalia; Carnivora; Mustelidae
Exons: 3
Source: RefSeq, a predicted model, not a curated record